This 820-nucleotide ribosomal RNA is filed under the name Talaromyces aculeatus. RNAcentral's name for it is "partial large subunit ribosomal RNA". It matches the Rfam family "Eukaryotic large subunit ribosomal RNA", at positions 83 to 921 of the family's 3401-position model. Lineage: Eukaryota; Fungi; Ascomycota; Eurotiomycetes; Eurotiales; Trichocomaceae. The record is from RNAcentral.
GUAACGGCGAGUGAAGCGGCAAGAGCUCAAAUUUGAAAUCUGGCCCCUUUGGGGUCCGAGUUGUAAUUUGCAGAGGAUGCUUCGGGUGCGGUCCCCGUCUAAGUGCCCUGGAACGGGCCGUCAUAGAGGGUGAGAAUCCCGUCUGGGAUGGGCGGCCGCGCCCGUGUGAAGCUCCUUCGACGAGUCGAGUUGUUUGGGAAUGCAGCUCUAAGCGGGUGGUAAAUUUCAUCUAAAGCUAAAUACUGGCCGGAGACCGAUAGCGCACAAGUAGAGUGAUCGAAAGAUGAAAAGCACUUUGAAAAGAGAGUUAAACAGCACGUGAAAUUGUUGAAAGGGAAGCGUUGUCCACCAGACUCGCCCGGGGGGGUUCAGCCGGCACGUGUGCCGGUGUACUCCUCUCCGGGCGGGCCAGCAUCGGUUUGGGCGGCUGGUGAAAGGCCCCGGGAAUGUAACACCCUCCGGGGUGCCUUAUAGCCCGGGGUGCCAUACAGCCAGCCUGGACCGAGGCCCGCGCUUCGGCGAGGAUGCUGGCGUAAUGGUGGUCAACGGCCCGUCUUGAAACACGGACCAAGGAGUCUAACAUCUAUGCGAGUGUUCGGGUGUCAAACCCGUCCGCGCAGUGAAAGCGAACGGAGGUGGGAGCCUUUCGGGGCGCACCAUCGACCGAUCCUGAUGUCUUCGGAUGGAUUUGAGUAAGAGCAUAGCUGUUGGGACCCGAAAGAUGGUGAACUAUGCCUGAAUAGGGCGAAGCCAGAGGAAACUCUGGUGGAGGCUCGCAGCGGUUCUGACGUGCAAAUCGAUCGUCAAAUUUGGGUAUAGG